This 602-nucleotide long non-coding RNA is filed under the name Elaeis guineensis (African oil palm). RNAcentral describes it as "long non-coding RNA (EGUI_LNC036637)". Lineage: Eukaryota; Viridiplantae; Streptophyta; Magnoliopsida; Arecales; Arecaceae. The record is from RNAcentral.
CCUUCUUUCUCAUGUGCAAACAAAUUUUUGUAUGAUAUUUUUUGCAUUAAUCUGAGUUGUGUCACCUCCUUUCUAAGUUCUUUAGUUGUAUAUUAAAUAUAGUUUGAAAAAGAUUUCAAAUUUGAUUUGAAUUCAUGAUAAGAUCAAAGGCUAUUUGAAGCUAGACCAGAUUAUCCAAACUCUACAUGGGACACCACCAUUAAGAAGGGCUAGUUUUUGCACACCAAACCACUUAAAAUUUGGUGUGAGAAAUUCUCAAAGAGGGUGUGAGAGAUUUGAGAAAGAGGGGUGGGCGUUCGUGUAUGAGAAAAAGAGCAAGAAGAUCCUCUUUGGGGCGUGAGAUCUAGGGCUGGGUUCUAGGGUUUUCUAGUUUUUAUUUUGUGAGAGAGAAAAAUAAAAAAAAAAUAUUUUUCUUCUUCCAUGCCAUCUCCUCCUUAAAAAGCUCUCUCUUCUGAUCUAGAAGUAUCUAUUUGAUCUAAAGAAUAGGAUCUCUAUCAGCCAUCCAGAUCCUUCGUCACGAGCUAGCACUCCUGGGAAGGAUGAUUUGUUCGAUGUUUCGAGUGGAUCACUUGUAGAGGCCGGAUACGCUGUGCGGCUGCUCG